GAGGCUAUAGCUCAGUGGUAGAGUGCUUGUCUAGCAUGCAUGACAUUCUGGGUUUGAUCCCUAGCAUUA
Molecule: transfer RNA, 69 nt
Filed under: Cavia porcellus (domestic guinea pig)
Lineage: Eukaryota; Metazoa; Chordata; Mammalia; Rodentia; Caviidae
Rfam family: tRNA
About the family: Transfer RNA (tRNA) molecules are approximately 80 nucleotides in length.
Source: Rfam by way of RNAcentral